This 268-nucleotide unclassified non-coding RNA is filed under the name Hevea brasiliensis (rubber tree). The record is from RNAcentral. Lineage: Eukaryota; Viridiplantae; Streptophyta; Magnoliopsida; Malpighiales; Euphorbiaceae.
AAAAAAGGCACACCUUGGUUUUGUAACGGCAUUGAGCUUUUCCCCCGAUUCAAGAGCUUUGGCUUCUGCAUCAAUGGACUCCAGUGCUAGGGUGACUAUAAUUGAGGAGGAGCAGAAAAACGGAAUGAGCUUGUGGGUCAUCAUAUUCAUCUUGUUAAUUGCCGUUGCUGCAUAUUUCGUCAACAAUUCUGAUUUUCAUAAGUUUGAGCUUCCUACCUUUUUCAGUGGUUAAAUGAAGCUGGAAUAUCGAGGAACUCAGAGCCUAACA